This is a small nuclear RNA of Vicugna pacos (alpaca), 104 nucleotides long. The record is from Ensembl. Lineage: Eukaryota; Metazoa; Chordata; Mammalia; Artiodactyla; Camelidae.
GUGCUCACUUUGGCACAUAUACUAAAAUUGGAGUGAUGUGGAGAAGACAAGCAUGGCCCCUGAGUAAGGAUGAUACGCAAAUUCGUAAAGUGCUCCAUAUUUAA